Molecule: ribosomal RNA, 314 nt
Filed under: uncultured bacterium
Lineage: Bacteria
Description: partial 16S ribosomal RNA
Rfam family: Bacterial small subunit ribosomal RNA
Source: RNAcentral
GUAUAAGAGACAGCAGCAGCCGCGGGAAUACAGAGGGUGCGAGCGUUAAUCGGAUUUACUGGGCGUAAAGCGUGCGUAGGCGGCUUCUUAAGUCGGAUGUGAAAUCCCUGAGCUUAACUUAGGAAUUGCAUUCGAUACUGGGAAGCUAGAGUAUGGGAGAGGAUGGUAGAAUUCCAGGUGUAGCGGUGAAAUGCGUAGAGAUCUGGAGGAAUACCGAUGGCGAAGGCAGCCAUCUGGCCUAAUACUGACGCUGAGGUACGAAAGCAUGGGGAGCAAACAGGAUUAGAUACCCGCGUAGUCCCUGUCUCUUAUAC